RNAcentral lists this ribosomal RNA (2310 nucleotides) under Triticum aestivum (bread wheat). Its description in RNAcentral is "partial small subunit ribosomal RNA". Lineage: Eukaryota; Viridiplantae; Streptophyta; Magnoliopsida; Poales; Poaceae. The record is from RNAcentral.
AUGGGCUGCCAAACUAUUUCCCCAAACGACCUGGAGCUUAUGAUGUCGGAUAAACAUGAAGCCAAAAAACCUGGGGCUAUCGAGUUUAAACUUCUUCACGAGAUCACAAAUAAUUUCUCUGAUGAAAUUGGACGUGGUGGAUAUGCCAAGGUUUAUAAGGGACUCCUUGGAAACGGCAUGGCCGUUGCCGUGAAGAAGCUGUCCAAUCCGCAUUUUCGCGACGAUAAAUUCUUCCUUCGGGAGAUUGAAUGUCUUAUGAAGGGGAAGAAGCACAGGAAUAUAGUACGAUAUUUGGGAUAUUGUUGUGAUACCGUGGGAGAAAUAGAAACAUAUGAAGAAAAAAAUGUCAUAGGGGAAAGGCUAAAAAGAUUGAUCUGCUUUGAGUAUGUACCAGAAGGGAAUCUCCGUAGCCAUAUCAAUGAUGCAUCUUGUGGACUUGAAUGGAGAGAACGUUAUAAAAUAAUAAAAGGAAUCUGCGAGGGUUUGAAUUACCUUCACACCAAAGGUAUUACUCACCGGGAUCUUAAGCCGGAAAAUAUACUCAUGGAUAAUAUGAUGGUGCCGAAAAUAGCCGACUUUGGUCUAUCAAGGUACUCUAAGGAUGAACAAACCCAUGCUAGUACUACAAAUCAUGUUGUAACCUUCGGAUAUGCGCCGCCAGAAUUCGAUGGCCGGAAAGUCACACGAAACUUUGAUAUAUAUAGUCUUGGUGUUAUAAUCAUGGAGAUCGUGACUGGAGAGAGGGGGCAUCACAAGCCAGAGGCAGUACUUGAAAGUUGGAGUAAUAGGCUUGAGACAUCAAUGGAAGAAGAUCAAGUACGUGUAUGUAUCGAGAUAGCAGUAGAGUCCACACAAUUCGAACCAGAGAAGAGACCAGUUAAAGCACAGGAUAUAAUUGAUAGGCUUGUUGCAACGGAGCUCCUUAACGUCUACCUUUUCAAGCUUGGGUUACCCACCGAACCCAAUACAGAUAAACAGUUGGUGUUUAGGCUUACGAAUAAGAGCAGGGAGUCCUGGCAGUACUUUGCAAGUAUUCCGCUCUACGUCAUCGUGCCUUCCAGGUCGACUUACACCCUCGUUGUCACAGAAAAACAACAGGAUAUGCUACCUGAAGAAAUAGACUAUGAUCUGAUCCAACAGAGCAGUAUAUCAGAAGACAAAAAUAUCCAUGCUUUCAGAGACCAAUUAUACCUGAAGAAGUAUGACCAAUUUUAUGAGGACACGGGGAAUGAUGUGCAUGAGGUGAAACUGAAAACUACUUUUGCAACAUCUGAGCACGCAAAUCCUGCAAAGAAUGGACAGAUAAUAUCCAUGAAGAAUACUCAUGGCGUUCUGUGUUGCCUAGACGCACAAGCCACAGAGCCAUGGAUUGUAACAGGUCAUCAGCACGGAGAUGUUUGCAUAUGGAACUAUUACCCGCAGAGAGGAAUGGAUUCGUUCAAUAUCUGGAAGGAGUCGGUUAUGCAUUCUUACUCGUCAUCGAAUAAAGUUCAUUCCGUUAAAGUUAUCUUAAGAAAGGAAAAGACAUGGUUUGUGGCUGCGACAUCGGAUGGUGUGAUCCAUGUAUACGAUUACAACAACAAAAUGGAAGAAGUGUCAAGUUUCAGAGCCGCCAGUGAUUCCUUCAUCACUUCAAUGGCCGUACAUCCAACCAGUUCGUAUCUAUUGUCAUCGGCACAUCGUGCUGUAAAGCUCUGGGACUGGGACAAUGGCUGGAAGGAGUGCGAACCAUCAUUCAACCAGGAACACUCUGCUAGUAUACGUCAAGUCGCAUUUAACCCAAAGAAUACCAACAUUUUUGCAACUGCUUCAGAUGAUCACACCAUAAAGGUUUGGAGCAUUGGCUCUCCCGAAUCCAAGUAUACUUUGUCAGGGCAUCUGGGCAAAGUGAACUGCCUCGAUUUCUUCAGAUGUGAUGGUAGUGGUACACAGUAUUUGAUUACUGGCUCUGACGAUCGCACAGCUAAGAUCUGGAACAUGGAGAAGGCGGCUUGUGUUGACACAAUAAUGGAAGCUUGUGUUCAUACAAUGGAAGCUUUCAUGUCUCCAGUAAAUUCCGUCCUUGCACUUCGCGACCCUCUGUAUCUUAUUGCAGGAUCAAAAGAUGGAUCUGUUCAUAUCUUUUCUGUCGAAAAGGAGGUUUCUGUUCAUAUCUUGAGCUCGACUAAUUUCAGGCUUGAGAGGAUUGUUAAUUUUGGUUCUAGCGGAGCUAUCUGGGGUCUCGGAAAUUUGAUGGGUCCGUCAAAAAGGAUUGUGAUUGGACAAGAGUACGCAAUUUCAAUCAUGGAUAUGGAAAUGUGCAAGCACUGA